CAAAAUGAAGCGGUGCCCUCGCGGCCCGUCCUUCUCACCACUGUGUACCAAACUUUUCGUUGCCUCGGCGGGCUGGAUAAGCCCCGGCUGACCCCCCCUCUUCGGAGGGGAGCCGCCCGCCGCAGGACAAUUCAAAACCAUUCUGUUCGAUGAACGUCUGAUUAUUUCUUCGCGAAUGCGAUAAAUA
This 187-nucleotide unclassified non-coding RNA is filed under the name uncultured Sordariomycetes. Its description in RNAcentral is "sequence contains ITS1". Lineage: Eukaryota; Fungi; Ascomycota; Sordariomycetes. The record is from RNAcentral.